UCUUUCUUCUAUCUUACCUGAAUCCUUUUCAACAUCAAGCCCAUCUCUUACUUCAUCAAGGGCACCUUUUGAAUUGUCAUCUCCAACCUCUUCUCUUCCCAGUGCGACCUCUUCCUUCUCUGAAAUCCCCUCCACCUCAAUUCAUCCCAUGCAAACUAGAGCCAAAGCAAAUAAAACUUACCCUAGAAUAAGAACUGACUGCACCAUUCCAUGGCCUCUACCGCGUGCCCAUGCGACUUCCACUGCUGUUUCUAAGGAACCCACCUCUAUUACUCCAGCUUCCAAAUAUCUCAAAUGGAGGCAUGUGAUGCAGCUUGAAUUUGAUGCUUUUAUGUUCACCAACACCUGGUCGUGGGUUCCUCUUGCCUCUAAUCAAAAUAUUGUUGGCUGUUGAUGGAUCUUUAAGACCAAGCACCUGUCCAAUGGUUCCAUCGAACGAAGAAAAGAGAGACUGGUAGCUAAGGACUAUAGUCAACUUGAAGGCUUGGACUACAAUGAAACAUUUAGUCUUUUGAUCAAGCCAACUUCCAUUAGCUGCAUACACCGAUGCAGACUGGACAUGGUGCCUCGAUGAUAGGAAGUCGACUAGUGGCUAUUGUGUCUUUUAUGACAAAAGGUUGGUCUCAUGGAGCUCAAAGAAGCAAUCUAUUAUAGCCCAAUCAAGUACUGAGGCAGAAUACAAGGCUCUUAUUCAUGCCACUUAUGAAUUACUGUGGCUACAAUCUCUCUUGUCUGAAUUAAGAAUUUUCAAAACCCCCUACCCUCUACUGUGACAAUUAGGGACAACUUACCUAUCCAUGAAUCCUGUGAUGCAUUCUCAUACCAAACAUAAUGAUAUUGAAUAUCAUUUUGUAAGGCACCAAAUUCAAGAAAAAGCUCUUCAAGUUUCAUUUCUCUCAAGCAAGGAUCAGCUUGCUGAUAUAUUUACAAAGCCCUUAUCCACUUUCACAUUUUCAACACUUAGAUCAAGCCUCACUGUUCUUCCAGGCAUGCUUGGCUCGCAGGGGCGUAUCAACAAUACAAUUACCACACAUGAUCAGCACUCAAAGGAUACCUCAUCAGGAAAUACUGAAGAUGUGCCAAGCCAGAAUGUUCCAGAAUGAAUCUUUGUUAUACAAGUGUCAUGCUUUUAGUGAUAAAAUCUGUUAUAAAAAGAAUAUUAUGUUUUAUGUGUAUAAAUAGCAGCAUGUACCGAAUACAAAAACAAUGAAGAGAACAAACAUUCCCAUUCAA
Molecule: long non-coding RNA, 1233 nt
Organism: Carya illinoinensis
Lineage: Eukaryota; Viridiplantae; Streptophyta; Magnoliopsida; Fagales; Juglandaceae
Exons: 2
Source: RefSeq, a predicted model, not a curated record